This 250-nucleotide ribosomal RNA is filed under the name uncultured Neisseria sp. RNAcentral's name for it is "partial 16S ribosomal RNA". It matches the Rfam family "Bacterial small subunit ribosomal RNA", at positions 86 to 339 of the family's 1533-position model. Lineage: Bacteria; Pseudomonadati; Pseudomonadota; Betaproteobacteria; Neisseriales; Neisseriaceae. The record is from RNAcentral.
GGGUGGCGAGUGGCGAACGGGUGAGUAACAUAUCGGAACGUACCGAGCAGUGGGGGAUAACUAAUCGAAAGAUUAGCUAAUACCGCAUAUUUUCUGAGGAAGAAAGCAGGGGACCAUUUGGCCUUGCGCUGUUUGAGCGGCCGAUAUCUGAUUAGCUAGUUGGUGGGGUAAAGGCCUACCAAGGCGACGAUCAGUAGCGGGUCUGAGAGGAUGAUCCGCCACACUGGGACUGAGACACGGCCCAGACUCC